Molecule: ribosomal RNA, 312 nt
Filed under: uncultured bacterium
Lineage: Bacteria
Description: bacterial SSU rRNA
Rfam family: Bacterial small subunit ribosomal RNA
Source: RNAcentral
GACGAACGCUGGCGGCGUGCCUAACACAUGCAAGUCGAACGGGGCUAGGAAAGCUUGCUUUCUGAUGCCUAGUGGCGGACGGGUGAGUAACGCGUGAGUAACCUGCCUUUCAGAGGGGAAUAACGUUCUGAAAAGAACGCUAAUACCGCAUAACGUACAGCUUUCGCAUGGAAGCAGUACCAAAGGAGCAAUCCGCUGAGAGAUGGACUCGCGUCCGAUUAGCUAGUUGGUGGGGUAAAGGCCUACCAAGGCGACGAUCGGUAGCCGGACUGAGAGGUUGAACGGCCACAUUGGGACUGAGACACGGCCCAG